Magnolia sinica is the source of this 462-nucleotide long non-coding RNA. RefSeq lists it as uncharacterized. The transcript has 3 exons. NCBI's taxonomy places the organism in Eukaryota, Viridiplantae, Streptophyta, Magnoliopsida, Magnoliales, Magnoliaceae. The record is from RefSeq and is a predicted model, not a curated record.
UUUCUUUAAAGCUUCUCUAUGUUUUCACAAUGCAAAAUUCUGCUUAUGAUUGUAUGAGAUGGGAGCUUGUUCUAUAGAUUUAUAAUAGAUGCUGUAUUAUCUUUCAAAAGAAUGUGGUCCCGACCCAAUUGAGGAAGUUAUGCCCAAAGUGUAGUUAGCAUAGUGUCCCAGUGGGAAUCAGAAGUUUAACUGGUAAUGGUAUCAUCUCUCCUUGAUAAGGGCAAUAGUAAUGGAUAGAUGAUUGAAAGGAGAAAUGAAGUCAACCAUAUAGGAUACUGAAUCUGCUAAGGCAUUUAGAAGACAACUGAAAGAGACAAUCUACUCAGUGCUGUUUGAUAUGAAUGUUCCUGCUGUUUGUGCCAUCAAUCAGGCGUACACGAACAAGCUGGAGAACAAGGUUUCACGUCUGGAAGAAGAGAAUGAAAGGCUCGAGAAGCAGAAGGUCGCACGAUGAAAAAAUAG